GCCCAGAUAGCUCAGUUGGUAGAGCACAUCCUUGGUAAGGAUGAGGUCACCAGUUCAAUCCUGGUUCUGGGCU
This 73-nucleotide transfer RNA is filed under the name Neptuniibacter sp. Its description in RNAcentral is "tRNA-Thr". It matches the Rfam family "tRNA". From Rfam's summary of the family: Transfer RNA (tRNA) molecules are approximately 80 nucleotides in length. Their secondary structure includes four short double-helical elements and three loops (D, anti-codon, and T loops). Further hydrogen bonds mediate the characteristic L-shaped molecular structure. tRNAs have two regions of fundamental functional importance: the anti-codon, which is responsible for specific mRNA codon recognition, and the 3' end, to which the tRNAs corresponding amino acid is attached (by aminoacyl-tRNA synthetases). tRNAs cope with the degeneracy of the genetic code in two manners: having more than one tRNA (with a specific anti-codon) for a particular amino acid; and 'wobble' base-pairing, i.e. permitting non-standard base-pairing at the 3rd anti-codon position. RNAcentral also lists the same sequence under 4 other names. Lineage: Bacteria; Pseudomonadati; Pseudomonadota; Gammaproteobacteria; Oceanospirillales; Oceanospirillaceae. The record is from RNAcentral.